GACGAACGCUGGCGGCGUGCUUAACACAUGCAAGUCGAACGGAAAGGCCCUGCUUUUGUGGGGUGCUCGAGUGGCGAACGGGUGAGUAACACGUGAGUAACCUGCCCUUGACUUUGGAAUAACUUCAGGAAACUGGGGCUAAUACCGGAUAGGAGCUCCUGCUGCAUGGUGGGGGUUGGAAAGUUUCGGCUGUUGGGGCUGGACUCGCGGCUUAUCAGCUUGUUGGUGGGGUAGUGGCUUACCAAGGCUUUGACGGGUAGCCGGCCUGAGAGGGUGACCGGCCACAUUAGGACUAAGAGAGGGACCAGAGUCCUACGGGAGGCAGCAGUGGGGAAUAUUGCACAGUGGGCGGAAGCCUGAUGCAGCAACGCCGCGUGCGGGAUGACGGCCUUCGGGUUGUAAACCGCUUUCGCCUGUGACGAAGCGUGAGUGACGGUAAUGAGUAAAGAAGCACCGGCUAACUACGUG
This 468-nucleotide ribosomal RNA is filed under the name uncultured bacterium. RNAcentral's name for it is "partial 16S ribosomal RNA". It matches the Rfam family "Bacterial small subunit ribosomal RNA", at positions 28 to 507 of the family's 1533-position model. The record is from RNAcentral.